GUUUGAUCCUGGCUCAGGAUGAACGCUAGCGGCAGGCCUAACACAUGCAAGUCGAGGGGUAACAUAGAGAAGCUUGCUUUUCUGAUGACGACCGGCGCACGGGUGCGUAACGCGUAUGCAACCUACCUCUUACUGGAGGAUAGCCCGAAGAAAUUCGGAUUAAUACUCCAUAGUAAUGUUUUUUCGCAUGUUAAGACAUUUAAAGGUUACGGUAAGAGAUGGGCAUGCGUCCCAUUAGCUAGAUGGUAAGGUAACGGCUUACCAUGGCAACGAUGGGUAGGGGGCCUGAGAGGGUGAUCCCCCACACUGGUACUGAGACACGGACCAGACUCCUACGGGAGGCAGCAGUGAGGAAU
This 356-nucleotide ribosomal RNA is filed under the name Scrippsiella trochoidea. Its description in RNAcentral is "partial Bacterial small subunit ribosomal RNA". It matches the Rfam family "Bacterial small subunit ribosomal RNA", at positions 11 to 362 of the family's 1533-position model. The record is from RNAcentral. Lineage: Eukaryota; Dinophyceae; Peridiniales; Peridiniaceae.